Molecule: ribosomal RNA, 651 nt
Filed under: Lacticaseibacillus rhamnosus
Lineage: Bacteria; Bacillati; Bacillota; Bacilli; Lactobacillales; Lactobacillaceae
Description: bacterial SSU rRNA
Rfam family: Bacterial small subunit ribosomal RNA
Source: RNAcentral
AACACGUGGGUAACCUGCCCUUAAGUGGGGGAUAACAUUUGGAAACAGAUGCUAAUACCGCAUAAAUCCAAGAACCGCAUGGUUCUUGGCUGAAAGAUGGCGUAAGCUAUCGCUUUUGGAUGGACCCGCGGCGUAUUAGCUAGUUGGUGAGGUAACGGCUCACCAAGGCAAUGAUACGUAGCCGAACUGAGAGGUUGAUCGGCCACAUUGGGACUGAGACACGGCCCAAACUCCUACGGGAGGCAGCAGUAGGGAAUCUUCCACAAUGGACGCAAGUCUGAUGGAGCAACGCCGCGUGAGUGAAGAAGGCUUUCGGGUCGUAAAACUCUGUUGUUGGAGAAGAAUGGUCGGCAGAGUAACUGUUGUCGGCGUGACGGUAUCCAACCAGAAAGCCACGGCUAACUACGUGCCAGCAGCCGCGGUAAUACGUAGGUGGCAAGCGUUAUCCGGAUUUAUUGGGCGUAAAGCGAGCGCAGGCGGUUUUUUAAGUCUGAUGUGAAAGCCCUCGGCUUAACCGAGGAAGUGCAUCGGAAACUGGGAAACUUGAGUGCAGAAGAGGACAGUGGAACUCCAUGUGUAGCGGUGAAAUGCGUAGAUAUAUGGAAGAACACCAGUGGCGAAGGCGGCUGUCUGGUCUGUAACUGACGCUGA